RNAcentral lists this ribosomal RNA (31 nucleotides) under Cladosporium oxysporum. Its description in RNAcentral is "partial 28S ribosomal RNA". The record is from RNAcentral. RNAcentral also lists the same sequence under 3 other names. Lineage: Eukaryota; Fungi; Ascomycota; Dothideomycetes; Cladosporiales; Cladosporiaceae.
GGUUGACCUCGGAUCAGGUAGGGAUACCCGC